AUUGAACGCUGGCGGCAUGCCUUACACACGCAAGUCGAACGGCAGCACGGGAGCAAUCCUGGUGGCGAGUGGCGAACGGGUGAGUAAAGUAUCGGAACGUGCCCAGUCGUGGGGGAUAACGUAGCGAAAGUUACGCUAAUACCGCAUACGAUCUACGGAUGAAAGCGGGGGAUCGCAAGACCUCGCGCGAUUGGAGCGGGCGAGAUCAGAUUAGGUAGUUGGUGGGGUAAAGGCUCACCAAGCCGACGAUCUGUAGCUGGUCUGAGAGGACGACCAGCCACACUGGGACUGAGACACGGCCCAGACUCCUACGGGAGGCAGCAGUGGGGAAUUUUGGACAAUGGGCGCAAGCCUGAUCCAGCCAUGCCGCGUGCAGGAUGAAGGCCUUCGGGUUGUAAACUGCUUUUGUACGGAACGAAAAGGUUUGGCCUAAUAAGCUGGACCCAUGACGGUACCGUAAGAAUAAGCACCGGUUAACUACGUGCCAGCCGCCGCCGUAA
This 500-nucleotide ribosomal RNA is filed under the name uncultured bacterium. RNAcentral describes it as "partial 16S ribosomal RNA". It matches the Rfam family "Bacterial small subunit ribosomal RNA", at positions 29 to 523 of the family's 1533-position model. The record is from RNAcentral.